This 584-nucleotide long non-coding RNA is filed under the name Olea europaea (common olive). Its description in RNAcentral is "long non-coding RNA (OEUR_LNC015499)". Lineage: Eukaryota; Viridiplantae; Streptophyta; Magnoliopsida; Lamiales; Oleaceae. The record is from RNAcentral.
CAACAUAGAAAAUUUGAUCCAAUACUAACCAAUAUGAUGCACUUUCCUUAUUUAAAACCCUCCAAGCAAAUCAAGCUAUUGUUAUAAUUGGGAUGCACUUUUCUUUCCUUGAAACCAAAUGACACUAUCCCUAUGUUUGGUGCAGAGAGUCCCCUUUGUGAAUCCAUGGCUUUUGGCUUUGAUCUUGCUAAGAGAUCACAAAAUUGGUCCGAAAAUGGAUUUUAUGGGCGAGGAAACAGAAACCAUGUACACCAUGGGAGAAGAGAUAUAGGUAAGGAUCGCUCAAGUAGAUCUUUUUGAAUUCCUAUAACUUUUGGGUUCAAUUUAGUAGAGGUGGUGUUGGAGUUUAGAAGGAAUAAAAGUGGAAGGUGAUGGUGAUGGUUCGAUUUAGUGGAGGUGGUUUUGGUUUUCGGGUGGCUGUGGGUUUGGUGGUGGCGACUGGCAGCUUUGGAUUAUGGUUUGGUUGGAGAGGUGGGGUUGAAGGUGGGGGCAUGGAAGAAGAAGAAAAUUGGGGUGCGUUUUUUUUUUUUAGUUUAAUUGUUAAUAAUGUUGAAAAAUAUUUGCUAAUUCGAAAGUUACCAUUU